UACGUAGGGUGCGAGCGUUAAUCGGAAUUACUGGGCGUAAAGUGUGCGCAGGUGGCCGCGCAAGUCGAGUGUGAAAUCCCCGAGCUUAACUUGGGAAUUGCGCUCGAAACUACGUGGCUCGAGUGUGGCAGAGGAAGGUGGAAUUCCAGGUGUAGCGGUGAAAUGCGUAGAGAUCUGGAGGAACACCGAUGGCGAAGGCAGCCUUCUGGGCCAACACUGACGCUCAUGCACGAAAGCGUGGGGAGCAAACAGG
RNAcentral lists this ribosomal RNA (253 nucleotides) under uncultured bacterium. Its description in RNAcentral is "partial 16S ribosomal RNA". It matches the Rfam family "Bacterial small subunit ribosomal RNA", at positions 524 to 776 of the family's 1533-position model. The record is from RNAcentral.